GCCCGGGUGGUGGAAUUGGUAGACACUGCAGACUUAAAAUCUGUUGUCCGAAUGGACGUGCCGGUUCGAGUCCGGCCCUGGGUA
RNAcentral lists this transfer RNA (84 nucleotides) under Fidelibacterota bacterium. RNAcentral describes it as "tRNA-Leu". It matches the Rfam family "tRNA". Rfam says of the family: Transfer RNA (tRNA) molecules are approximately 80 nucleotides in length. Their secondary structure includes four short double-helical elements and three loops (D, anti-codon, and T loops). Further hydrogen bonds mediate the characteristic L-shaped molecular structure. tRNAs have two regions of fundamental functional importance: the anti-codon, which is responsible for specific mRNA codon recognition, and the 3' end, to which the tRNAs corresponding amino acid is attached (by aminoacyl-tRNA synthetases). tRNAs cope with the degeneracy of the genetic code in two manners: having more than one tRNA (with a specific anti-codon) for a particular amino acid; and 'wobble' base-pairing, i.e. permitting non-standard base-pairing at the 3rd anti-codon position. The record is from RNAcentral. Lineage: Bacteria; Pseudomonadati; Fidelibacterota.